AUAAAAGAAAGUAAAUAAGGGCGCAUGGCGGAUGCCUUGGCUCUCGGAGGCGAUGAAGGACGUGAUAAGCUGCGAUAAGUUUCGGGUAGGUGCAAAUGACCUUUGAUCCGAAGAUUUCCGAAUGGGACAACCCGGCAUUCUGAAGGAAUGUCAUCCAACUUGGUUGGAGGCUAACGCAGGGAACUGAAACAUCUUAGUACCUGCAGGAAAAGAAAAUAAAUAAUGAUUCCCCUAGUAGUGGCGAGCGAACGGGGAUUAGCCCAAACCACCCAUGUUACGGCAUGUGUGGGGUUGUAGGACCACGCUCUCGCAAGACAGUUAUUGAGAAGAAACGACUGGAAAGUCGUGCCAUAGACGGUGAUAGCCCGGUAUUCUAAGGUAACCGAAGCGUAGUGGUAUCCUGAGUAGCGCGGAGCACGAGGAAUUCUGCGUGAACCAGCCGGGACCAUCCGGUAAGGCUAAAUACUCCCGAGAGACCGAUAGCGAACCAGUACUGUGAAGGAAAGGUGAAAAGCACUUCGAAUAGAAGAGUGAAAUAGUCCCUGAAACCAUGCGCCUACAAGCGGUCGGAGCAGCUUCAGCUGUGACGGCGUGCCUUUUGCAUAAUGAACCUACGAGUUACUUUUUCCGGCAAGGUUAAGCAUCUUGAGAUGUGGAUCCGAAGCGAAAGCGAGUCUGAACAGGGCGGAUAGUCGGAAGGAGUAGACGCGAAACCAAGUGAUCUACCCUUGGGCAGGUUGAAGGUUAGGUAACACUAACUGGAGGACCGAACCGAUAAGCGUUGAAAAGCUUCCGGAUGACCUGAGGGUGGGGGUGAAAGGCUAAUCAAACUUGGAGAUAGCUCGUACUCCCCGAAAUGCAUUUAGGUGCAGCCUUGAGAGUUACUAAUGUGAGGUAGAGCGACUGAUAAGAUGCGAGGGCUUCACCGCCUAUCAAGUCUUGAUAAACUCCGAAUGCGCAUUAGUUCUAUCUCAGGAGUGAGGGCAUGGGUGCUAAGGUCCAUGUCCUAAAGGAGAAGAAUCCAGACCAUCAGCUAAGGUCCCCAAAUAAACACUAAGUUGAACUAACGAAGUCAGAUUGCUAAGACAGCUAGGAUUUUGGCUUGGAAGCAGCCAUUCAUUUAAAGAGUGCGUAACAGCUCACUAGUCGAGGAGUUUGGCGUGGAUAAUAAUCGGGCAU
This 1179-nucleotide ribosomal RNA is filed under the name Bifidobacterium longum. RNAcentral's name for it is "partial 23S ribosomal RNA". It matches the Rfam family "Bacterial large subunit ribosomal RNA", at positions 1 to 1182 of the family's 2925-position model. Lineage: Bacteria; Bacillati; Actinomycetota; Actinomycetes; Bifidobacteriales; Bifidobacteriaceae. The record is from RNAcentral.